GGUGGCGGACGGACGAGACGAGACGAAGGAGGAGGGAGGGGGCGGGGGCGGGGUUUUGGGAUCGGCGGCGUUGGACAAGGAAGAGGAGGCCACAAGUGAAGGAGCAGCGGGCGCACUAUGCGCGCGUCCUCUCGUAGGGGGCCCUCGCGCCGGGCGGCGACAGGGGCCGCACGGCCGUACCUCCUCUCCGGUAUCUAGCGGCCGUCCGCGGAGGCGGCGGCGGCCUGCGCCGCCGCCUCGUCCGACCCCCGAGGGUCCUCGACGUCGAGGGCCGCCUGUAGCUGACCCUCGCCGAGCUGUUCAGCGCGAAGAAGAAGGAGCCGCGCCCCGAGAAGAGGCGGCAGAGCUGGCGCGACAUGGGGCGGCAGCAGGAGUUCUGCGCGGACGUCCAGCGCGGCCUCGGAGGGGGCCGCGUGCGGCGCUGCCCCCGCGCCGGCCCCGAGGGCGGGAGGCGGCGGCGGCGCCGGUGGUGGUAGGACGCGGCCCUCCCGGGGGAGCGGAAGAUGGCACCGAAGCGGUGGAGGGAGCGGCCCUGGCAGGGGCGCGCGCGCGAGAUGUACCCGCGCGAGCUCCGGUGCGCGAGGCAGCAGCCGGGCCGGCGCGAGCCGGAGCCGCGCGGACUCGGGCGACGCAGGCGCCGGCGCCCGCGGCGACGGCCCGAGUGGCGGCGGCAACGGCGCGUCCAACACACCUGCGGGCAGCUACAGUAGUCGGUCGCGGAGUACCACGUCCCGUUGGGCACGGGCCGGAGGGCGAUGGUGCCGCCGGAGCUGCGUAAGGCGUUCUAGCACCGGAGGCUGCCAGAGACGCCGGACAUGGCGCCGAAGCCGUACAGGUAGGAUUGGAUGCGGGGGAGGUUACGGCACACCACCCGCUGAAUGAGUGACAGUGUCUUCUAUUAGACCUCGCCCUAACCGACGAUGGAGACGCUCAUGCCACACCCACACGUUCUUUAGCUGCUGCCGCUGCCACUGUAGAGCAACGUCGGUUCGACGUUCUGUGAGUACCACCACGUCCCUUGCUCACGGCGCUAUCGGCCACCGCGGCGCCGGGAACACUGGUACGGCGACCUGUGGUAGUUCUGGUCCUACGUCCAGUACCUGCCGGUUCCGCUCGGUUAGUGGUAACCCGCCUGCCACGCCCUCGACUAGUUCCUUCCGCCCACCCCGCGCACAAUGUCCCCCGAGCCGGGCUCCACCCGCAGGUACAGGAACAGACGGUGAUGGUACUAGUGGUGCAUACUCAAGGAGUUCGCGGAGAGCCGCUUCUUCCCCGUCCUCUCACCGCAGGGUACUGAAGACUACCGUUCAAUAUAUCUAUUACGUUUAAUCCAAGGAAGGGAACCAAACAAAGCAAGGAAAGGUGUCGAAUAGACUAGAAAGUCCACAACUUUUCUUUUACCACUAGUUCACAAACAUCUAUCACAGAAGCAAACAUUGAGGUUUAGUUAGUUGCUUUAGGUGAAAUAAAGACCAUGAAGCGAAGACGACGAAUUAGUGCAAAAUCGAACACUCAGAAGUGUUCAUGAGGUAAGUGAACGAACCUUGGUUUGUACCGAUACUAUAGUGUUGAGGUCGUACGUGGCUCGUCCAAAGUACAGUAAGGAAAGGAAGAGAUAAACAAAGUAAAAGACCAAGACUAGUAGUUGAUGUACCGGGUAGUCCUUAGACUUAUGAAGUUCACUGUCUCUCUGACCUCAUGUGACAUCGCAUGUGACUGGUAAGGUGUGUACCAGUGCUCGCUGUCCGAAUAUACCUGUCCAUGCGACAUGUCCACGAGAGUAUUGACCCGUGACGACGUCAUUGGACUAUAUCUUCCCAGGAUCCUUUUACCUUCUAGACAAAUGGGAAAAACAGUCAAAAAGGGAAAGUUUAAAGAGAACAGAAAAAAGUAACGUUUUUAUCCUCCGGAUUCUCAGAAGAGAACCUUAUUUGUUCAUGAUCUACUACAAGGUUGAUGGACGUGGUGAAACCAAUGUUUACUGUACGUUUACAGUAUACAACUAUUACCAAUUGGUGAGAACAUAUACUGCAGAUUUGCCACAGAAAAUAGACUACAAAUACGAUAGUAAAAGAACAUCACCGGCCUUAAUCCCAUCGAAAGAAAGGUAACGAGACAAAGAAAAGAUCACAGUUAACAGAAACCAUGAAGAAAAUAAAUAUGGAGAC
RNAcentral lists this ribosomal RNA (2168 nucleotides) under Triticum aestivum (bread wheat). Its description in RNAcentral is "partial small subunit ribosomal RNA". Lineage: Eukaryota; Viridiplantae; Streptophyta; Magnoliopsida; Poales; Poaceae. The record is from RNAcentral.